RNAcentral lists this ribosomal RNA (253 nucleotides) under uncultured bacterium. Its description in RNAcentral is "partial 16S ribosomal RNA". It matches the Rfam family "Bacterial small subunit ribosomal RNA", at positions 524 to 776 of the family's 1533-position model. The record is from RNAcentral.
UACAGAGACUGCGAGCGUUAUUCGGAUUCACUGGGCGUAAAGGGCGCGCAGGCGGCCGUGUGUGUGAGGCGUGAAAGCCCGGGGCUUAACCCCGGAAUUGCACCUCAAACUACACGGCUAGAGCAUUGGAGAGGGUAGCGGAAUUCACGGUGUAGCAGUGAAAUGCGUAGAUAUCGUGAGGAACACCAGAGGCGAAGGCGGCUACCUGGACAAUUGCUGACGCUCAGGCACGAAAGCGUGGGGAGCAAAAGGG